GGCGGCGUGCUUAACACAUGCAAGUCGAGCGGUAAGGCCCUUCGGGGUACACGAGCGGCGAACGGGUGAGUAACACGUGGGUGAUCUGCCCUGCACUUCGGGAUAAGCCUGGGAAACUGGGUCUAAUACCGGAUAUGACCAAAGGCUGCAUGGUUUUUGGUGGAAAGGUUUACUGGUGCAGGAUGGGCCCGCGGCCUAUCAGCUUGUUGGUGGGGUAAUGGCCUACCAAGGCGACGACGGGUAGCCGACCUGAGAGGGUGACCGGCCACACUGGGACUGAGACACGGCCCAGACUCCUACGGGAGGCAGCAGUGGGGAAUAUUGCACAAUGGGCGAAAGCCUGAUGCAGCGACGCCGCGUGAGGGAUGACGGCCUUCGGGUUGUAAACCUCUUUCAGCAGGGACGAAGCGAAAGUGACGGUACCUGCAGAAGAAGCACCGGCCAACUACGUGCCAGCAGCCGCGGUAAUACGUAGGGUGCAAGCGUUGUCCGGAAUUACUGGGCGUAAAGAGCUCGUAGGCGGUUUGUCGCGUCGUCUGUGAAAACUCGAGGCUCAACCUCGAGCUUGCAGGCGAUACGGGCAGACUUGAGUACUGCAGGGGAGACCGGAAUUCCUGGUGUAGCGGUGAAAUGCGCAGAUAUCAGGAGGAACACCGGUGGCGAAGGCGGGUCUCU
RNAcentral lists this ribosomal RNA (675 nucleotides) under uncultured bacterium. RNAcentral's name for it is "bacterial SSU rRNA". It matches the Rfam family "Bacterial small subunit ribosomal RNA", at positions 38 to 730 of the family's 1533-position model. The record is from RNAcentral.